RNAcentral lists this long non-coding RNA (1370 nucleotides) under Scophthalmus maximus (turbot). Its description in RNAcentral is "lncRNA (ENSSMAG00000031444.1)". The record is from RNAcentral. Lineage: Eukaryota; Metazoa; Chordata; Actinopteri; Pleuronectiformes; Scophthalmidae.
GGUAGUAGCUGUCUAAAAGCUUUAAAACGGCGAAAACUUUUCAUAAAUCAACUCUGAGAGAGAGAGAGAGAGAAAGUUUAGUCGCCAUUUUUUUCAACAACAGGCGUCGCGCUAUUUUGUCCAUUAAUUCUGUCGUCACCUGUUGUCGUCGUCAUCACCUGUUGUCGUCGUCGCCACCUGUUGUCGUCGUCACCACCUGUUGUCGUCGUCACCACCUGUUGUCGUCGUCGUCGUCACCUGUUGUCGUCGUCAUCACCUGUUGUCGUCAUCACCUGUUGUCGUCAUCACCUGUGUCAGGUGGCGGCAGCGACCGAUGCUGCGUUCCAGUGCGCCUCGGAACUCGGAGCUCGGACCCCGGAAGUCGGGGUGCAGACCUCUCCGGAGCGGGGAGGGAGCUCUGCCUGGAGCUCACCUGGAGCUCUGCCCCCGGGUCACGUAUCAUCUCUGUGAGGCGGUCUUCACCCCUGAAGGACAACUCUAUACGACUCUACUCAGCCGCCGACAGCACCGAGGACCAGACUGGACCGUCGGACGCGUUUUUCAUUGAAGACGCCAAAGGUAAUGAAGAUGUCUCAACAUCCUGCAAUUGGUCCAAAAAAACAAACAGCUGUUCGACUAAACGGGAAAAUCCCAAUGUUCAGACCAAACGAGAUAAUGUGGGAGGAGCUAGUCCGGGACAGACGCAUUCACAGCAGGAACAUUCCGGGACAUUCAGCACUGCUGGUCCAAUUCAGGGAAGCCGAAGCUGAUCCCGGUCCGCAGAAGUUAAAAAGCUGGAUGCGUGGUGAAGCAUGGUGGCGAAGAUGGUUAGGACGCACUUAAUGGGGCCACUGUCAUGGGGCCGGGUCAAACGGCCGAGUGUAAUGGGAACAGGAGUCCUUUAUCUGCUGCUGCUCUCAACCUGCCUUGGCCAAGACACAGAAGGUAAAAGGCGGUCUCUCAUUUUGUCGUCGUCCCCCCUCUCCCCCCUCUUCUUAUCCAUCUCUUUUUCAUUCCUUCUUUUUGGCUUUGUCUCGUCUUUUCCCUCUUUGGCUUCCUCUUUUUUUCCCCACUGUCUUAUAAAUCAGAAGUGAGUCAAGUCUGCUCAGCGGGGAUUUGAUAUGAGAAUUGCACACAUCACUUUUUUGAACUUCAGGCUUAUUGUCGGCUGUCAGCCAAUCUGAUUCAUUUCCUGAUUCAUCAUUGAUCCCUUUUAUGACGUGUGAUAACUACAACACAGUUUGUCAAGGUGUACUUAGUUUUCCUAUUUGCUUUCCAUUUCCAGUAGUAUUUUCGUCUGAACAAACAUUAAUAGCUUAUGCCAUCCAUCUCAUCCAGAAAUGUUUAUUGUCCACUCGCAUGGAAAUAUUUCUCGGGCCACAAGCACACCA